GACGAACGCUGGCGGCGUGCUUAACACAUGCAAGCCGAACGGAAAGGCCCUGCUUUUGUGGGGUGCUCGAGUGGCGAACGGGUGAGUAACACGUGAGUAACCUGCCCUUGACUUUGGGAUAACUUCAGGAAACUGGGGCUAAUACCGGAUAGGAGCUCCUGCUGCAUGGUGGGGGUUGGAAAGUUUCGGCGGUUGGGGAUGGACUCGCGGCUUAUCAGCUUGAUGGUGGGGUAGUGGCUUACCAAGGCUUUGACGGGUAGCCGGCCUGAGAGGGUGACCGGCCACAUUGGGACUGAGAUACGGCCCAGACUCCUACGGGAGGCAGCAGUGGGGAAUAUUGCACAAUGGGCGGAAGCCUGAUGCAGCAACGCCGCGUGCGGGAUGACGGCCUUCGGGUUGUAAACCGCUUUCGCCUGUGACGAAGCGUGAGUGACGGUAAUGGGUAAAGAAGCACCGGCUAACUACGUG
Molecule: ribosomal RNA, 468 nt
Filed under: uncultured bacterium
Lineage: Bacteria
Description: partial 16S ribosomal RNA
Rfam family: Bacterial small subunit ribosomal RNA
Source: RNAcentral